AACGAACGCUGGCGGCAUGCCUAACACAUGCAAGUCGAACGAGACCUUCGGGUCUAGUGGCGCACGGGUGCGUAACGCGUGGGAAUCUGCCCUUGGGUUCGGAAUAACAGUUGGAAACGACUGCUAAUACCGGAUGAUGACGUAAGUCCAAAGAUUUAUCGCCCAAGGAUGAGCCCGCGUAGGAUUAGCUAGUUGGUGAGGUAAAGGCUCACCAAGGCGACGAUCCUUAGCUGGUCUGAGAGGAUGAUCAGCCACACUGGGACUGAGACACGGCCCAGACUCCUACGGAAGGCAGCAGUGGGGAAUAUUGGACGAUGGGCGAAAGCCUGAUCCAGCAAUGCCGCGGGAGUGAUGAAGGCCUUAGGGUUGUAAAGCUCUUUUACCCGGGAUGAUAAUGACAGUACCGGGAGAAUAAGCUCCGGCUAACUCCGUG
Molecule: ribosomal RNA, 433 nt
Filed under: uncultured bacterium
Lineage: Bacteria
Description: partial 16S ribosomal RNA
Rfam family: Bacterial small subunit ribosomal RNA
Source: RNAcentral